AGUGAACGCUGGCGGUAGGCCUAACACAUGCAAGUCGAACGGCAGCACAGUAAGAGCUUGCUCUUACGGGUGGCGAGUGGCGGACGGGUGAGGAAUACAUCGGAAUCUACUUUUUCGUGGGGGAUAACGUAGGGAAACUUACGCUAAUACCGCAUACGACCUACGGGUGAAAGCAGGGGAUCUUCGGACCUUGCGCGAUUGAAUGAGCCGAUGUCGGAUUAGCUAGUUGGCGGGGUAAAGGCCCACCAAGGCGACGAUCCGUAGCUGGUCUGAGAGGAUGAUCAGCCACACUGGAACUGAGACACGGUCCAGACUCCUACGGGAGGCAGCAGUGGGGAAUAUUGGACGAUGGGCGCAAGCCUGAUCCAGCCAUACCGCGUGGGUGAAGAAGGCCUUCGGGUUGUAAAGCCCUUUUGUUGGGAAAGAAAAGCAGCAGGUUGAUACCCCGCUGUUCUGACGGUACCCAAAGAAUAAGCACCGGCUAACUUCGUG
RNAcentral lists this ribosomal RNA (492 nucleotides) under uncultured bacterium. RNAcentral's name for it is "partial 16S ribosomal RNA". It matches the Rfam family "Bacterial small subunit ribosomal RNA", at positions 29 to 507 of the family's 1533-position model. The record is from RNAcentral.